Molecule: unclassified non-coding RNA, 4443 nt
Filed under: Octopus sinensis (East Asian common octopus)
Lineage: Eukaryota; Metazoa; Mollusca; Cephalopoda; Octopoda; Octopodidae
Description: fibropellin-1-like, transcript variant X1
Source: RNAcentral
UUCGAUUGUUGUUCUUUUUGAGGCUGGUUAUCUAUAAAAGAGCCAUCAAGGGAUCCACCGAUAGCCAGUCCUUGUUUCAGGAAGCAAACAUGAUGGCAACGAAUAGGUUCCAGUUGAUGGUCCACCUGGCAGUGCUGCUCAUCUUACCGUUUCUGACAUCUGCUGGAGAUGUUACCAAGCAAUGUCCACAAAUGGGUAGUUUGAACACCUUUUACUCUGGCUCUCACUGCUACUAUGUCUACUCGGCCACAACUGGAGAAAAUGCCAAAACUCGAUGCUGCAAAGACAAGAUGAGCCUCCUUUGGAUCAAAACGCAGGCUGAGCAGGAUUACGUCACUUCAGAGGUUAUGGGAAGCGCUGGUACCAACUCCUUAUGGGUCGGCGUUAUAAAAGAAGGUUCCAAGAAUAUGUGGAAGACUUGCGGUUAUAAUUUUGGGGAAAAUCACGGUAACUGGACUGGCAUUGGUGUUAAGCCAUUAUAUGCUAUGAUAACCGUGAGAAGAAGACAUGUCUAUUAUGAAUAUGAGUGCAGCAUAAAUCUUCGGUUACCUGUCAUCUGUAAAACUAAUCCUUGCUAUCCAAAUCCAUGUCAUAAUGAUGGUACGUGUAUGCCACUCGGUAUUGAGUACAAAUGCCUCUGUAAAGGAAAUUUUACUGGUACUAACUGCAACAGAAAUAACGCUUGUGCUGGCAAACCUUGCAGGAAUGGUGGAACUUGUAUUGUUGAUGGCUAUGAAUAUAAAUGCAAAUGCCCGGCUCCAUAUUUUGGCAAGAAUUGUGAAGAAAUUGAUCUGUGUGCACAGAAACCUUGCCUCCAUGAGGGUACCUGCUAUAUCGUCGGUGGUACCGUGAAAUGUACCUGCAAACCUGCUUAUGUUGGGCCCAGAUGUGCCACAUAUGAUGUUUGCUAUGAUCAACCUUGCGUGAAUGGUGGAACCUGUAUCCGUCAUGAACACAAAUAUGAGUGCCAAUGUUUAAAGGGUUACAGUGGAAUCAACUGCCAAACAUAUUCAGCCUGUUAUGCACAUCCUUGCCUAAAUGGUGGUACUUGCAUUGCUGUGGGUUUGAAAUUUACCUGCCAAUGCCGAAUUGGAUAUAAGGGCGAAGUCUGCAGUGUCUAUGAUGCUUGUCACUCUUCUCCUUGUUUAAAUAAAGGAAUUUGUCGAAGCAUUGGAAAUGAAGAUUAUAAAUGUUCCUGCCAACCUAAUUUUAGUGGCAAACAGUGCACCGUUUUCAACUACUGUUACUCGGAUCCUUGCAACAAUGGUGGAACCUGUAUGACCACCGACACUUCUUAUACAUGCAGAUGUAGAGAUGGUUAUCUUGGCCCUGACUGUUCUACAUAUGAUUAUUGCUUUACUAAGCCCUGUAAGAAUUCUGGAACUUGCUAUGCGGUUGGCAAUACCUACAGAUGUAACUGUGUUCCUACCUACACUGGUCCCACUUGUGAGACACGUAACUACUGUGAAAACAGCCCCUGUUUGCAUGGUGGUAUCUGUACCAACCAUGGCAGUGGUUACACCUGUAGAUGUACUUACCAAUAUAGCGGGCAACAUUGUGAAACUUUCAAUGCCUGCUUCAACUCACCUUGUUUGAAUGGUGGAACCUGCAAGACCCAUGAGUAUACCUAUCGGUGUGACUGUCCAUCUGGCUUCACUGGUCAUCGAUGCAACGUUUAUGAUGCUUGUAUCUCUGAUCCCUGUAUGAACAGUGGUACCUGUAUCAACGUUGGCAAUGACUAUACCUGCAUCUGUCCUAUUGGAUACAUUGACAAUCACUGCAACGUCUUUGAUGUUUGCAACAAACAACCUUGCAGAAAUGGUGGAGUUUGUAUGAAGAAGGGCUCUGUUUUCUCAUGUAUUUGUAAAAUUGGCUUCAAAGGAGACCAAUGCGAAAUCUAUGAUUACUGUUCGACAAAACCAUGCAGAAAUGGUGGGAAAUGCAUCGCUAAAGACUACGCUUACCACUGCGAAUGCACCACAGGUUACAGUGGCAAUAACUGCGAAUACUUCGAUGUCUGUUAUUCUGCCCCCUGCCAGAAUGGUGGUACCUGUAUGAUGAUUGGCAACAGAUUCCAAUGUAUUUGCACUCCUGGGUAUGAAGGAGACCUUUGUUCUGAAAUCAAUGUUUGUGAUCCAAACCCCUGUUUCAACGGUGGUACCUGUAUAUCCAACGGCAACACAUAUUUAUGUAUUUGCCCAACUGGCAGCACUGGUCAGAAGUGUGAAGAAUUCAAUCCUUGUCUGUCUAAUCCUUGUAAGAAUGGUGGAACAUGUACCAAUGAUGGCAUUAAAUAUCAUUGUACCUGUGUGAAUGGUUUCUUUGGAGUUCACUGCACAAACUAUGACACCUGCAUUUCCAAUCCUUGUCAAAACGGUGGUACAUGUGCAACAGUCGCCAAUGGCUUCAGAUGUGUCUGUGCACCUGGCUAUUGUGGAACCUUGUGUACAAACUACAACCCCUGUUACGAAGAGCCAUGUAAAAACUUUGGAAAAUGUAUCUCUCGCGGAAGACACUAUGAAUGUUCCUGUAGGAUGGGAUUCUCUGGUACCCACUGUGAUGAAUAUAAUCCCUGUCAUUCAUCCCCAUGCAGAAACCGAGGUGCCUGUACUAGUAUGAAUACCACUUACAGUUGCUCAUGUACUUCAGGUUAUAUUGGAAAGCAAUGUACAGUGUAUGAUUCUUGUUAUUCUAACCCAUGCAAAAACAAUGGACUGUGCAUCAACAGAGGCAGAAAAUACUACUGCAGUUGUGAAGUAGGUUAUACAGGAGAUCUCUGCCAAACAUAUGACGCUUGUUAUUCAAACCCCUGCAAAAACCGAGGUAUCUGCAAUUGCAACGGCGACAUGUUCAACUGUACCUGUUACGAUGGAUUCACAGGUAGAAUGUGUGACCAAUAUUCCGCCUGUUAUUCCAACCCCUGCAAGAAUGACGGAACCUGCCAAGAUUUUGAGGAAUCUUUCAGAUGUGACUGCAAACCUGGAUAUUCUGGACCACUCUGCACCAAAUUUGAUGCUUGCCAUUCCAAUCCUUGUCUCCACGGUGCCACAUGUGUCAACAACGGCUACAAAUUCACCUGUGUUUGUGACAGUGGUUACUACGGAAUCCGUUGCAGCAACUUCGAUGCUUGCAGUUCUAAUCCUUGUCACAAUAAUGGUAUGUGUUCCAAACAAGGUCUUUCCUUCGUAUGUUCUUGCAAAGAAGGUUACACUGGAGCCCAGUGCACAGAAUUUGAUCCCUGCUAUUCUACCCCUUGUUUGAAUGGUGGAUCCUGCUCAAAGACUGAAAGUGGUUACCAAUGUUCUUGCAAUGAGGGAUUCAGUGGACACAGAUGUCAAUCAUUUGAUGCCUGCCACUCCAAUCCUUGCCGGAAUGGUGGAACAUGCCAGACCUCUGGUUCAAACUACAAAUGUAUCUGUGCUGCAGCUUACAGUGGAAAAGUAUGCACUGACUUUGACCCCUGCUAUUCUCAGCCUUGCAAGAAUGGAGGUUCCUGCUCCAGAGUUGGUGAAAACUACAAAUGUUAUUGUACUGCAGAAUACACUGGAAAUGAAUGUACAGAAUAUAAUGCCUGUUUCUCAUCUCCAUGCCAAAAUGGUGGAACUUGUACCAAUACUGGCUACUCCUUCACUUGCCGCUGUCAAAUCAACUAUUCCGGUGAACAGUGUGAACUCUUUAAUUUCUGUAAUUCCCAACCUUGCUUAAAUGGUGGAACAUGCGAAAACAGGCCACAAGGAUAUAUCUGUGACUGUGUUGAAGGAUACUUGGGUAAACGUUGUAAUCUAGGAGCCUGUCCUGAAAUCGAUGCUGAUAAAGUCGUCCAACAUAAUGGAACAUGCUACUAUCUCUUUGGACACGGUAAAACUGACAGUAAGUCAUAUGAAGGUGCAAUGAACAGAUGUUGUAGUCUGAAAGGAAAUGUAGUCUGGCUGGAAAGUUCCUAUGAAUUGAAUUACGUUGCAUCACAUUUACUUGAUGGAAUGGUUUCCCAUACUGAUACAUGGGUUGGCGCCAAGAAAGUGCACAGCCAUUUCGAAUGGAUCUCUUGCGGAACACCUUAUAAACAUGUGAAGAACAACCUUUGGUAUUCAGAACACCCCAAACCCUCUUCUAGUGUUGCUUUCAUUGGGAAGAGAGCAGAUGGAAGCCAUCUUUACAGCUCCUGUGCCAAUAAAGAACUCAAGCCUUACAUCUGUGAGAUCUGUGCCCAAGGAUUUUUUGGUGAUAUGUGCCAGUCAAGAUGUCUCCAUUGCCGAGAUAGCGUAGGAUGUGAACCUCGUACUGGAUAUUGUCGCUUUGGAUGUCUUGACGGAUGGACAGGUGAAAGAUGUAAUGUUAAGAAAACAGUUUAAAUUUAGAUCGUAUCUAGACAUUGAUUGAAAAAGUGAAGUUUUAUUAAUUUUAAGUGAAGAAGCAUUGAUGUAAGCAGAAUGAUGCGGAUAA